GACGAACCGAGCGAACGUUAUUCGGAAUCACUGGGCUUAAAGGGCGCGUAGGCGGGCCGUCAAGUCGAGGGUGAAAUCCCCCAGCUCAACUGGGGAGUGCCUCCGAUACUGGCGGCCUCGAGGGGGAUAGGGGCAUGCGGAACUUCCGGUGGAGCGGUGAAAUGCGUAGAUAUCGGAAGGAACACCGGUGGCGAAAGCGGCGUG
This 204-nucleotide ribosomal RNA is filed under the name uncultured bacterium. Its description in RNAcentral is "partial 16S ribosomal RNA". It matches the Rfam family "Bacterial small subunit ribosomal RNA", at positions 524 to 728 of the family's 1533-position model. The record is from RNAcentral.